This 453-nucleotide ribosomal RNA is filed under the name uncultured Porphyromonadaceae bacterium. RNAcentral's name for it is "partial 16S ribosomal RNA". It matches the Rfam family "Bacterial small subunit ribosomal RNA", at positions 341 to 792 of the family's 1533-position model. Lineage: Bacteria; Pseudomonadati; Bacteroidota; Bacteroidia; Bacteroidales; Porphyromonadaceae. The record is from RNAcentral.
ACGGGAGGCAGUAGUGAGGAAUAUUGGUCAAUGGGCGGAAGCCUGAACCAGCCAAGUCGCGUGAAGGAAGACGGUUCUAUGGAUUGUAAACUUCUUUUGUUCGAGGGUAAAGUGAGAGAUGCGUCUCUUAUUGCAAGUAUCGGACGAAUAAGCAUCGGCUAACUCCGUGCCAGCAGCCGCGGUAAUACGGAGGAUGCGAGCGUUAUCCGGAUUUAUUGGGUUUAAAGGGUGCGUAGGCGGGAUGUUAAGUCAGCGGUGAAAGCGUGUUGCUCAACAAUACCGAGCCGUUGAAACUGGCGUUCUUGAGUGUAAACGAGGUAGGCGGAAUGUGAUGUGUAGCGGUGAAAUGCAUAGAUAUGUCACAGAACUCCGAUGGCGAAGGCAGCUUACCAGCAUACGACUGACGCUGAGGCACGAAAGCGUGGGUAUCAAACAGGAUUAGAUACCCUGGUA